CCUACGGGAGGCAGCAGUGGGGAAUUUUGCACAAUGCUCGUAAGCGUGACGCAGCCACGCCGCGUGUAUGACGAAGGCCUUCGGGUCGUAAAGUUCUUUCAACCGGGAGGAAGGUGCAUAUGAGUAACAGUGUAUGUAUUGACGGUACCUGUAUAAGCAGCCCCGGCUAACUCCGUGCCAGCAGCCGCGGUAAUACGGAGGGUGCGAGCGUUGGUCGGAUUUACUGGGCGUAAAGAGCACGUAGGCGGUGUAGUGAGUCAGUAGUCAAAGACUAGAGCUCAACCCGGGAAAGGCAUGUGAUACUAGAAAACUAGAGUCUUAUAGAGGAGGGUAGAAUUCCAGGUGUAGCGGUGAAAUGCGUAGAGAUGAGGAGGAAUACCGGUAGCGAAGGCGGCCACCUGG
Molecule: ribosomal RNA, 402 nt
Filed under: uncultured bacterium
Lineage: Bacteria
Description: partial 16S ribosomal RNA
Rfam family: Bacterial small subunit ribosomal RNA
Source: RNAcentral